This 411-nucleotide ribosomal RNA is filed under the name uncultured bacterium. RNAcentral describes it as "partial 16S ribosomal RNA". It matches the Rfam family "Bacterial small subunit ribosomal RNA", at positions 338 to 795 of the family's 1533-position model. The record is from RNAcentral.
CCUACGGGUGGCAGCAGUGGGGAAUAUUGCGCAAUGGGCGAAAGCCUGACGCAGCGACGCCGCGUGAGGGAUGAAGGUCUUCGGAUCGUAAACCUCUGUCAGCAGGGAAGAACGGUCACUGUGCCAGCAGCCGCGGUAAUACAGAGGUCUCAAGCGUUGUUCGGAAUCACUGGGCGUAAAGCGUGCGUAGGCUGUUUCGUAAGUCGUGUGUGAAAACUCCGGGCUCAACCUGGAGACUGCACUUGAAACUGGGUGUCUUGAGGGCAGGAGAGGAAAGUGGAAUUCCUAGUGUAGCGGUGAAAUGCGUAGAUAUUAGGAGGAACACCAGUGGCGAAGGCGACUUUCUGGACUGUACCUGACGCUGAGGCGCGAAAGCGUGGGUAGCGAACGGGAUAAGAUACCCCAGUAGUC